This 409-nucleotide long non-coding RNA is filed under the name Anser brachyrhynchus (Pink-footed goose). Its description in RNAcentral is "lncRNA (ENSABRG00000021558.1)". The record is from RNAcentral. Lineage: Eukaryota; Metazoa; Chordata; Aves; Anseriformes; Anatidae.
CCUUGCCCUCUUCCAUAUUGGCAGCCAUCACUAAUUGACUGUGAAAGUGGAGAAUUCAAUGGUUUAAGGUGAUCUCUUCUCUGAACUCCAAAACAGUUUGUGGAUGGAAAUCAGCUGAAGCAAAACAUUGGUUCAAUUACACUGUCAAGGGAUAUAGCUCCUGUACAACAAAGAGUGACCUUUCAGAGAAAAGAUGAAGCCAGCCUCAGGUUAACUCUGAAGGCCUCAGCUCAUCCAACUGAGAGCAGAUUAGCCCAGAUGGAGACAUUUUCAACACGGUUCUGUCUGACCAAUCAGCGACAGCUGGGAUUAGCCAAAUACCUUCUCUCAUCUGCUUGCUCACAGAAAGCUCUUCAGCUGAAUUGAUUUGAUCUGGAAAACUGAAGACAUACCACAAAAUAAAUAAAUA